GAGUGUUUACGUGCAGCGCAUAUUGGACGGCGCCGGCCCCGGGCCCCGCAGCGGCUGAGCCCUGUUUCCGCAGGCGCCGGCUCCGGCCCCUCCUCCCGCCGCGGGACGGGGAGCUCGGCGGCCCUGCGCCCGGGCCAGCUUGGCAGCCUCGGCCUCGCUCUCGAGGAUUUGGCAUUUCGCAAGCGGUCCUCGAUGGUUUCAUUCAAUCCGUGAUGUUUAACGGCCCAGGCCGAAAGGCGGGACGGUGUAGAGGGAGAUCUCGCUCAUUUUGUUUGUUUUUUGGUGACUUUCAAAUUUAAAAACAAACAAAAGCCACACUUAGCUGUCCCUUCCCCCCGAAGUGUACCACAAUGCACUAUUCCCCCUCCCAACGUUGGAUCAAGAGCAUUUAAAAACAGAAAGAAAAAAAAGAAAGAAAUUUGCCGCUUUAACAACUUUAUUAUUAACUACUGGGAAUUCAUCCAAGGGUUGCAUUACCACCGAGCUGCAUCCCAGUCUUUUUUAUUCUUUGAGAUGGGUCUUGCUAAAUUGCUGAGGCUGGCCUCCAACUUGGAAUCUUCCUGCCUCAGUCUCCCCAGUCACUGGUAUUACAGGUGUGCCCCACCACAUCUGUCAAAACUUUUACUGUACCUAAUCCCAUUAUCCAUUUGUCCGUCCUUAUUUUUUGAUGCAUUUUUUCAAGUAAGUCAUUGCAUUUUUGUUUUUAAAAACCAUCUCUUGUACUUAUGAUGAUUAUGAUAUAUUGAGUGCUUUUUAAGUGCCCCAUAUUACGCUGAGCAUACUGCAUGCAGACUUUAACACAUGGACUCUUCGAAAUACAAUGCUGUAAAUACACUUAUUUUACAAAUAAGAAGGCACAGGAGUUUGAAGAGAGGAGUUUGAUCACUUGGCAGAUUUAGGCAGUCCCAUGUGUAGAUAACUCUCAAUAGCU
Molecule: long non-coding RNA, 931 nt
Filed under: Marmota monax (woodchuck)
Lineage: Eukaryota; Metazoa; Chordata; Mammalia; Rodentia; Sciuridae
Source: RNAcentral